CACGUGAGCCUCAAGCGUUACCCGGAUUUACUGGGCGUAAAGGGUGUGUAGGCGGUUGUGUUAGUCGUUCGUUAAAUUCCGGGGCUCAACCUCGGACCCGCGGACGAAACGGCACAACUUGAGGGCGCGAGAGGUCUGCGGAACUCAUGGUGUAGGGGUGAAAUCCGUUGAUAUCAUGGGGAACACCGAAAGCGAAGGCAGCAGACUGGCGCGUUCCUGACGCUCAGACACGAAAGCCAGGGUAGCGAACGGG
RNAcentral lists this unclassified non-coding RNA (253 nucleotides) under Candidatus Kaiserbacteria bacterium. RNAcentral describes it as "contains 16S-23S intergenic spacer region". It matches the Rfam family "Bacterial small subunit ribosomal RNA", at positions 524 to 776 of the family's 1533-position model. The record is from RNAcentral. Lineage: Bacteria; Candidatus Kaiseribacteriota.